Molecule: long non-coding RNA, 1179 nt
Filed under: Oryctolagus cuniculus (rabbit)
Lineage: Eukaryota; Metazoa; Chordata; Mammalia; Lagomorpha; Leporidae
Description: lncRNA (ENSOCUG00000029923.1)
Source: RNAcentral
AUGAGAUUUGCAGGGAGCCAGGGGCGCCGGAGCCCCUCUGAGUCCGGAUCCCGCGCCUCCGACCCUCCCGUCUCACGGCCGGUCGCAGGGGUCUUUCCAGCCUCUCCCUGUUACAGGGUCUCGGGGACCCAGGCUGCGCCGACCCUCCCAUGCCCUGUACGACGUCGGGGCCGGGGUCCCCGAAGCUCGCGGCGGGGGCCAAACAGCCUUGGCGGGCGGACCAGGGGGCGCGAGCCGCGAGGGGGCGUCCGGGCCGGGGGCGCGCUCCCGCCGCAGCACCGCGGGCGGCCUGGGAGAACUCGUCCCGCCCCGCCCGGGUCCCGCAUUGGAGCGGGCUCCGCGCCCCUGGGGUCCCGCUCCCAAACGCACCUCGCAGCCGCGCGCUCCGAAGUCCCCGAAGGACGGCGCGGGCGUCCGGCCCCUCGGCCUCAAACUUCGCGACCCCACCCGCCGCCCCGCGCCCCUGUGCCGCGAACGGGAGGAGAAACUUCACAGGGGCGGGGGUCGGGACUCACCCGGGAGCGAGCGCAGGCGGCGGCGGCGGCGGCGGCGGCGGCGGCCGCGGUGCCCGAGGUGAGGGGGCGGCGGCUGCGGGCUGCGGGCUGCGGCGCGGCGGGGGCGUGGGUGCCCUGGCGCGGAGUCCCCGCUCGGCCCCAAGUGCCUUUGCCGCAAGACUUGCUGAGCUCGCAGCCUGCGCCGAGGCGGCGGGAGGGGCUGAUCGAUGGGCGCGCGGCGAGCGCUGCAGUGCGGGGAGGAGACGGCGCGGGAGGGCGGGACCCGCAGCGGCGCGGGCCGGGGCGGCCCUGCCCUGCCCUGCGGGCGCUCUGCUCCCGCGCUCGGCGUCCGGCCGCCUGCUCAAGGUCAGGAGAGCGGACUCGCGGGCGGCAGGGGUCGCUCCGGCCGAGGCCCCCGUUCCCUCCGGGCCGGGUCUGUGCCCCUGGAGCCGCCCUCCACCCCACCCCGCCUGCAGGACCCGCUGCAGCGCAAGGCACAAACUGGGCUCAGGAGCACCCCCAGAACCUUUUCUGGGUCCCUGAACCCCGCUCUUGGCCCUCCAGAAGGCCUCCCCUACCUGCGGGGGCUCCCUGGGUGGCCUGGGCCUGUGAAGAUAGGGGGGCGCACCGGCAGGUGGGGGGAACGGCUGGUUUCUUACGUAGCAAAAUUUUCCACGAGUGUUAG